GGGGUGUGACUGCGUACCUUUUGUAUAAUGGGUCAGCGACUUAUAUUCUGUAGCAAGGUUAACCGAAUAGGGGAGCCGGAGGGAAACCGAGUCUUAAUUGGGCGUUAAGUUGCAGGGUAUAGACCCGAAACCCGGUGAUCUAGCCAUGGGCAGGUUGAAGGUUGGGUAACACUAACUGGAGGACCGAACCGACUAAUGUUGAAAAAUUAGCGGAUGACCUGUGGCUGGGGGUGAAAGGCCAAUCAAACCGGGAGAUAGCUGGUUCUCCCCGAAAGCUAUUUAGGUAGCGCCUCGUGAAUUCAUCUCCGGGGGUAGAGCACUGUUUCGGCUAGGGGGCCAUCCCGGCUUACCAACCCGAUGCAAACUGCGAAUACCGGAGAAUGUUAUCACGGGAGACACACGGCGGGUGCUAACGUCCGUCGUGAAGAGGGAAACAACCCAGACCGCCAGCUAAGGUCCCAAAGUCAUGGUUAAGUGGGAAACGAUGUGGGAAGGCCCAGACAGCCAGGAUGUUGGCUUAGAAGCAGCCAUCAUUUAAAGAAAGCGUAAUAGCUCACUGGUCGAGUCGGCCUGCGCGGAAGAUGUAACGGGGCUAAACCAUGCACCGAAGCUGCGGCAGCGAACGUAUCACUUAAAGCGAUUCAGCGGGUUACGAUUGACGGAGCGAAGCGACGUCAAAGCGUAUACAAAGUCGAGUCGGUUUAAGGAUACGUUCGUUGGGUAGGGGAGCGUUCUGUAAGCCUGUGAAGGUGGCCUGUGAGGGUUGCUGGAGGUAUCAGAAGUGCGAAUGCUGACAUAAGUAACGAUAAAGCGGGUGAAAAGCCCGCUCGCCGGAAGACCAAGGGUUCCUGUCCAACGUUAAUCGGGGCAGGGUGAGUCGACCCCUAAGGCGAGGCCGAAAGGCGUAGUCGAUGGGAAACGGGUUAAUAUUCCCGUACUUGGUGUUACUGCGAAGGGGGGACGGAGAAGGCUAUGUUGGCCGGGCGACGGUUGUCCCGGUUUAAGCGUGUAGGUGUGUGUUCCAGGUAAAUCCGGUU
This 1037-nucleotide ribosomal RNA is filed under the name Salmonella enterica subsp. enterica serovar Typhimurium. Its description in RNAcentral is "partial 23S ribosomal RNA". It matches the Rfam family "Bacterial large subunit ribosomal RNA", at positions 588 to 1547 of the family's 2925-position model. Lineage: Bacteria; Pseudomonadati; Pseudomonadota; Gammaproteobacteria; Enterobacterales; Enterobacteriaceae. The record is from RNAcentral.